AAGGUCGUAGCUCUUCUAAUAGCUGAGAUAUGGCAUUUUUGAUGCCCAUUUUUGGCCUCAAAAACGGACGUCGAAAACGACUUUUUCACGAUUUUCAAAGUGCUCUCAUUCCCUUAGUUUUGCUCAGAUCCUGCUACAACCCGGUGUUUUCGUAAUCUAGGUGACCCAAUUAAGACGCUGGUAUACUUAGUUUGAUUUCGACAAAAAUCAAUUUUUGGUGAAAAAAUUCGAUACGGGGGGGUAUACCCGAAAAAUGAAAAAACCCAAACUUUGACGGUCGAUAUCUCGGCUUCUAUGGGAGCUAUCGGGAAAAUUCCAACGGUUCUGUCUUAGUUUCGUCAUUCUAAAUCCAACGAGACUAUCCGCAAGGUCGUAGCUCUUCUAAUAGCUGAGAUAUGGCAUUUUUGAUGCCCAUUUUUGGCCUCAAAAACGGACGUCGAAAACGACUUUUUCACGAUUUUCAAAGUGCUCUCAUUCCCUUAGUUCUGCUCGGAUCCUGCUAUAACCCGGUGUUUUCGUAAUCUAGGUGACCCAAUUAAGACGCUGGUAUACUUAGUUUGAUUUCGACAAAAAUCAAUUUUUGGUGAAAAAAUUCGAUA
Molecule: long non-coding RNA, 599 nt
Filed under: Anthonomus grandis grandis
Lineage: Eukaryota; Metazoa; Arthropoda; Insecta; Coleoptera; Curculionidae
Description: uncharacterized LOC126744562
Source: RNAcentral